RNAcentral lists this ribosomal RNA (797 nucleotides) under uncultured bacterium. RNAcentral describes it as "bacterial SSU rRNA". It matches the Rfam family "Bacterial small subunit ribosomal RNA", at positions 1 to 787 of the family's 1533-position model. The record is from RNAcentral.
GCGGGAAUUCGAUUGAGUUUGAUCCUGGCUCAGAUUGAACGCUGGCGGCAUGCCUUACACAUGCAAGUCGAACGGCAGCACGGGAGCAAUCCUGGUGGCGAGUGGCGAACGGGUGAGUAAUACAUCGGAACGUGCCCAGUAGUGGGGGAUAACCCGGCGAAAGCCGGACUAAUACCGCAUACGACCUACGGGUGAAAGCAGGGGAUCGCAAGACCUUGCGCUAUCGGAGCGGCCGAUGUCAGAUUAGCUUGUUGGUGGGGUAAAAGCCUACCAAGGCGACGAUCUGUAGCUGGUCUGAGAGGACGACCAGCCACACUGGGACUGAGACACGGCCCAGACUCCUACGGGAGGCAGCAGUGGGGAAUUUUGGACAAUGGGCGCAAGCCUGAUCCAGCCAUGCCGCGUGCGGGAAGAAGGCCUUCGGGUUGUAAACCGCUUUUGUCAGGGAAGAAACGCUCCGGGCUAAUACCUUGGAGUAAUGACGGUACCUGAAGAAUAAGCACCGGCUAACUACGUGCCAGCAGCCGCGGUAAUACGUAGGGUGCAAGCGUUAAUCGGAAUUACUGGGCGUAAAGCGUGCGCAGGCGGCUUUGCAAGGCAGAUGUGAAAUCCCCGGGCUUAACCUGGGAACUGCAUUUGUGACUGCAUGGCUGGAGUGCGGCAGAGGGGGAUGGAAUUCCGCGUGUAGCAGUGAAAUGCGUAGAUAUGCGGAGGAACACCGAUGGCGAANGCAAUCCCCUGGGCCUGCACUGACGCUCAUGCACGAAAGCGUGGGGAGCAAACAGGAUUAGAUACCC